RNAcentral lists this ribosomal RNA (120 nucleotides) under uncultured bacterium. Its description in RNAcentral is "partial 16S ribosomal RNA". It matches the Rfam family "Bacterial small subunit ribosomal RNA", at positions 30 to 147 of the family's 1533-position model. The record is from RNAcentral.
AUUGAACGCUGGCGGCAUGCUUUACACAUGCAAGUCGAGCGGCAGCGCGGGGGCAACCCUGGCGGCGAGCGGCGAACGGGUGAGGAAUGCAUCGGAACGUGUCCCGUAGAGGGGGAUAGC